This 504-nucleotide long non-coding RNA is filed under the name Heterocephalus glaber (naked mole-rat). RNAcentral describes it as "lncRNA (ENSHGLG00000035868.1)". Lineage: Eukaryota; Metazoa; Chordata; Mammalia; Rodentia; Bathyergidae. The record is from RNAcentral.
CUUCUCUGGCAGCAUCCAGCACAGACCUGCAGAAGGUCACAGAGCAGCAGGAGGGCUGUAGCCCUGAUCUUGUGACCAACAAAGCAAAUGAAGACACAGAAGGAACAUGCUGUCCUCAUGAUCAUCAGAGACCAAGCUAGGAGACAAGCAAAGCAAUAAUUUCCAUGCAGUCUGAUUAGUGCCAAGGUGGGAGGUGGAUGGAGAUGGAGAAAGCUCCCUGGAGGAAGGGAGGAGGCUGCUGUCCAGGUUCCACACCAGCCCAGCCCAACUACCUUGUUUAGGUCCAGGCUUCCACACCCUUCUCUCAAGAUGUCACAGAAACCUGCCCCAGGCCAGAGAAAAGAGCAAUUUACUAAACUAGAGGAUGUUAGGAGCCAGGAGGCAUCUAAAAGGGCCUUCAUCAGGGAUGCUCGGAGCCCAAACCUGGCUCUGGAAGCACCUUCUCUGUAGCAGUCCCACGAAUAAAGAGGGCCCAACUGUCCUUUGGCCAAGGGGACAACUAGG